This 1242-nucleotide ribosomal RNA is filed under the name metagenome. RNAcentral's name for it is "bacterial LSU rRNA". It matches the Rfam family "Bacterial large subunit ribosomal RNA", at positions 1564 to 2815 of the family's 2925-position model. The record is from RNAcentral.
UGAAUACGAGAUGCUACGGCGUCGAAGCAGUCUAUGUCAUACUUCCAAGAAAAGCUCGCACUGUCAUAAACAAAUAAUGCCUGUACCAUAACCGACACAGGUGGGUAGGUAGAGUAUACUAAGGGGCGCGAGAUAACUCUCUCUAAGGAACUCGGCAAAAUGACUCCGUAACUUCGGGAGAAGGAGUGCCUUAUUUAUAAGGUUGCAAUAACAAGAUCCAAGCAACUGUUUAUCAAAAACACAGGUCUCCGCUAAGUCGUAAGACGAUGUAUGGGGGCUGACGCCUGCCCAGUGCCAGAAGGUUAAAGAAGUUGGUUAGCAUUCGCGAAGCUGAUAACUGAAGCCCUGGUGAACGGCGGCCGUAACGAUAACGGUCCUAAGGUAGCGAAAUUCCUUGUCGGGUAAGUUCCGACCCGCACGAAAGGCGUAAUGAUUUGGAUACUGUCUCGGAGAGGGGCUCGGUGAAAUAGACUUGUCUGUGAAGAUGCGGACUACCUGCACCAGGACAGAAAGACCCUAUGAAGCUUUACUGUAACUUGAGAUUGAAAUUGGACUUUACUUGCGCAGUAUAGGUGGGAGGCGUUGAUAAUAUUCUUGCGGGAUUAUUUGAGCCAUCAGUGAGAUACCACUCUUGUAAUGUUAGAUUUCUAACUUUGUAUCAUUAUCUGGUCAAAGGACAGUUUCAGGCGGGCAGUUUGACUGGGGCGGUCGCCUCCUAAACGGUAACGGAGGCGCACAAAGGUUUCCUCUGAACGGGUAGAAAUCGUAUCUAGAGUGUAAAGGCAUAAGGAAGCUUGACUGUGAGACCUACAAGUCGAGCAGGGACGAAAGUCGGUCUUAGUGGUCUGACGGUGCUGAGUGGAAAGGCCGUCACUCAACGGAUAAAAGUUACUCUAAGGAUAACAGGCUGAUCUCCCCCAAGAGUUCACAUCGACGGAGAGGUUUGGCACCUCGAUGUCGGCUCAUCGCAUCCUGGGGCGGUAGUACGUCCCAAGGGUUGGGCUGUUCGCCCAUGAAAGCGGUACGCGAGCUGGGUUCAGAACGUCGUGAGACAGUUCGGUCCAUAUCCGGUGUAGGCGUUAGAAUAUUGAGAGGAGCCUUCUUUAGUACGAGAGGACCGAGAAGGACAUACCUCUGGUGUACCAGUUAUCGUGCCAACGGUAAACGCUGGGUAGCUAUGUAUGGAGUGGAUAACCGCUGAAAGCAUCUAAGUGGGAAGCCCACCUCAAGAUAAGUAUUCUC